Vespula pensylvanica (western yellowjacket) is the source of this 1475-nucleotide long non-coding RNA. RefSeq lists it as uncharacterized. NCBI's taxonomy places the organism in Eukaryota, Metazoa, Arthropoda, Insecta, Hymenoptera, Vespidae. The record is from RefSeq and is a predicted model, not a curated record. The transcript has 2 exons.
UCUUUCUCUCUCUUUCUCUGUCUAUACGUAUAGAUAUACUAUGUGCGUGGGAUGGUCCGGCUCACGAUGGAUCCAAGUACGAGUUACUUUCCUUUUAAUAGAUCCUCCGGAUAAGUGCGUCGAGUAAAGAGGAUUAUCCUACUUCGAAGGAAGUGCGAUCGAUCGCGUGUAGGCGUAAUUGCGAGUGAUUAAUCGAUCGGACGUCUAUGGAAGUGAGAAACUGGUCACGUGUAGGUAUGUGAUCGUCUUUCUUAGAUAAUAUUUACGUUUAAAAAAGAAAAGAGGAAAAGAAGGAGAAAAGAUUUUCUCCAAAUUGGCAACCCUCGUUUGUUAUUAUAAAGGAAGAAAAAUCACUAAGGGAUCGCGUGAGUGGUUCUUCGUAACGGAAACUUCGCGUGGGAUCUAUCGAUCGGACACGUAAUCGAACUUGGAUGCCCUAAUUUCAUCGACCCCGUACAGUUGUACAGUUGUAGAUGAGCGUACUUAAUUCUCGAGAUUUUUUCGUUCCACUUGACGCAUUUAUCAUUUUCUUAAUUUUUUUUCAUUUUUUAAAAAUUUGUUUUAAUAAAGAAUAUGGGGUGUCACUUGUACGAGCAAUCGAAUAUUACCUCUUCUUCACUUCCUUUCCUUUUCUUUGAAAAAAUUGUAGUAAAUCAUGAUUUAUUAGGUAUUGGUACAUAUAGGAAAAAGGAAGAGUAAAUAAUUACCUAUAUCGCAGAACGCCGAGGACGAAAAUUCUGCUGGUAGAUAUCUGGUGGGGUUGGCUCUACCUGGCGGCCGAUAGCACGAUGGGUUCCGUGCACGCGCGCUACGGAGUCUCUCCAGUCAGCGAAGAGCGCUCUAACGCGAAGGACGUGGGAAAGAUCGAUUCGCGUUGAAAUUCGUAUUUCUCGAUUUUACGAUCGUUCUUAUUUUCGUUUACAGCUGCGAGAACUACUGUUGAGGAACGUUAGAAGUGUAACGCUUCGUGUGAUACUUGAUCGAACGAAAUAAAAGAUAUUCAAUCGGAUUGUUCGCGUUAGAAAUCGAAAAGUCUUAGAAAAGUUUCACGAACUUCCUUUUUUUUUUCUUAUCAAAAAAAAAAAAAAGAAAAGAAAGAGAGAAAGAAGAGAAAAGAAAAGGAAACAAAAAAAAAAAGAAAAAAAUCGGCAUAGUUAUGUACAACGAGUACCACCACCAAUACUACCACCAUCAUCAUCACAACUCGGUCCCUACGUUCUUCCCACUCGACCAGAAUAAAAAAGCAAGCGAAGGAAGAACUUACUACGGUACAGUAAAACGCACGUUCGGAAGAGUCUCUCGAGACUAAUACUCUCGAUUCGAUCGCACGAUCGAUUCUCUCGUCGUGACGUCGAUACUUCCGAUAAGCCAUCUGAAAUCGAGCGGAAGAUAUUCUAUCUGAAAGAGGAUCACGAUGAGACCGAGAGAGUAAAAGAACAAGUAGAAGUAGAAGUAAAAGUAGAAGAAGAAGAAGA